RNAcentral lists this ribosomal RNA (395 nucleotides) under uncultured bacterium. RNAcentral's name for it is "bacterial SSU rRNA". It matches the Rfam family "Bacterial small subunit ribosomal RNA", at positions 360 to 772 of the family's 1533-position model. The record is from RNAcentral.
AAUAUUGCACAAUGGGGGAAACCCUGAUGCAGCGACGCCGCGUGAGCGAUGAAGUAUUUCGGUAUGUAAAGCUCUAUCAGCAGGGAAGAAAAUGACGGUACCUGACUAAGAAGCCCCGGCUAACUACCUCCCAGCAGCCGCGGUAAUACGUAGGGGGCAAGCGUUAUCCGGAUUUACUGGGUGUAAAGGGAGCGUAGACGGCAUGGCAAGCCAGAUGUGAAAGCCCGGGGCUCAACCCCGGGACUGCAUUUGGAACUGUCAGGCUAGAGUGUCGGAGAGGAAAGCGGAAUUCCUAGUGUAGCGGUGAAAUGCGUAGAUAUUAGGAGGAACACCAGUGGCGAAGGCGGCUUUCUGGACGAUGACUGACGUUGAGGCUCGAAAGCGUGGGGAGCAAA